RNAcentral lists this ribosomal RNA (500 nucleotides) under Sulfitobacter sp. WH334. RNAcentral describes it as "bacterial SSU rRNA". It matches the Rfam family "Bacterial small subunit ribosomal RNA", at positions 121 to 655 of the family's 1533-position model. Lineage: Bacteria; Pseudomonadati; Pseudomonadota; Alphaproteobacteria; Rhodobacterales; Roseobacteraceae. The record is from RNAcentral.
GGAACAUACCCUUUUCUACGGAAUAGCCUCGGGAAACUGAGAGUAAUACCGUAUAAGCCCUUCGGGGGAAAGAUUUAUCGGGAAAGGAUUGGCCCGCGUUAGAUUAGAUAGUUGGUGGGGUAAUGGCCUACCAAGUCUACGAUCUAUAGCUGGUUUUAGAGGAUGAUCAGCAACACUGGGACUGAGACACGGCCCAGACUCCUACGGGAGGCAGCAGUGGGGAAUCUUAGACAAUGGGCGCAAGCCUGAUCUAGCCAUGCCGCGUGUGUGAUGAAGGUCUUAGGAUCGUAAAGCACUUUCGCCAGGGAUGAUAAUGACAGUACCUGGUAAAGAAACCCCGGCUAACUCCGUGCCAGCAGCCGCGGUAAUACGGAGGGGGUUAGCGUUGUUCGGAAUUACUGGGCGUAAAGCGUACGUAGGCGGAUUGGAAAGUUGGGGGUGAAAUCCCAGGGCUCAACCCUGGAACUGCCUCCAAAACUAUCAGUCUAGAGUUCGAGAGA